This 1330-nucleotide unclassified non-coding RNA is filed under the name Trichoderma lixii. Its description in RNAcentral is "sequence contains 18S rRNA gene, ITS1, 5.8S rRNA gene, ITS2 and 28S rRNA gene". The stretch from base 248 to 401 matches the Rfam family "5.8S ribosomal RNA". Lineage: Eukaryota; Fungi; Ascomycota; Sordariomycetes; Hypocreales; Hypocreaceae. The record is from RNAcentral.
UACGCGCGGGGGCCAGUACAGGAGGAUGACCAGCGGAGGGAUAUUACCGAGUUUACAACUCCCAAACCCAAUGUGAACGUUACCAAACUGUUGCCUCGGCGGGAUCUCUGCCCCGGGUGCGUCGCAGCCCCGGACCAAGGCGCCCGCCGGAGGACCAACCAAAACUCUUAUUGUAUACCCCCUCGCGGGUUUUUUUAUAAUCUGAGCCUUCUCGGCGCCUCUCGUAGGCGUUUCGAAAAUGAAUCAAAACUUUCAACAACGGAUCUCUUGGUUCUGGCAUCGAUGAAGAACGCAGCGAAAUGCGAUAAGUAAUGUGAAUUGCAGAAUUCAGUGAAUCAUCGAAUCUUUGAACGCACAUUGCGCCCGCCAGUAUUCUGGCGGGCAUGCCUGUCCGAGCGUCAUUUCAACCCUCGAACCCCUCCGGGGGGUCGGCGUUGGGGAUCGGCCCUGCCUUGGCGGUGGCCGUCUCCGAAAUACAGUGGCGGUCUCGCCGCAGCCUCUCCUGCGCAGUAGUUUGCACACUCGCAUCGGGAGCGCGGCGCGUCCACAGCCGUUAAACACCCAACUUCUGAAAUGUUGACCUCGGAUCAGGUAGGAAUACCCGCUGAACUUAAGCAUAUCAAUAAGCGGAGGAAAAGAAACCAACAGGGAUUGCCCCGUUAACGGCGAUNNUUUUACUUUNANGAAUAAUUAAAAUAUAAAAAUGAAUAAUUUUUUUAUUUUUUAUUUUUCCAUCUCGACCAUCAAAGAGAACACUGCUAUUGUCAUUUUAAACUACCCACUAUGGUGAAAUUGUAGACCUCUGAAGACAGCGNUAAAAGCCACGCUNNUGAACAUUUUUGUAUAUANCUUUCUGAAUCGGGGAUGUUUAAGGUUCUCCCAUUAAAUUUCCUUGNAGCGCAUUAUUUAAAAUUCUGCACGGUCCCGAAAUCUAAGUGGACGUCUCCAUCCCGGCNAUUANAAUGAAGGAAUUGNUCUUUUUGAGGAGAAAGAGAGGAANACCACCGAUNNNGAGGCGUAGUUAAGUAAAUGGUUCCCUUUACGUAUGUUGUGGCUGGGAGACCUGGGAAAUGNGUCCGGUUAUAAAUUAAUAUGGUGGCGAGGGCGAUGAUGUGCACGCUACUUAGACGCAUCGUUUAAGCGAGGCUGUUCGUCGAGCGCAGCGCCUCUUGCGUGGGGCGAGGGCUNCANANGAGGGGGUAUNNACGANCNGAUUUUUUGUUNUGUNNGNGGAGUGGGUGNGAAUGAGGGNGGGAUUGCUGGNGCGNGCUAUGAUGGUGGCCUANGAGCUCGUUUUUUGAGUGCCUAUGGCGGAGGCGGNCCCAUGCGG